This 207-nucleotide ribosomal RNA is filed under the name uncultured bacterium. RNAcentral describes it as "partial 16S ribosomal RNA". It matches the Rfam family "Bacterial small subunit ribosomal RNA", at positions 568 to 774 of the family's 1533-position model. The record is from RNAcentral.
CGUGCAGGCGGUUUAGUAAGUUGGAUGUGAAAGCUCCUGGCUUAACUGGGAGAGGUCGUUCAAUACUGCCAGACUAGAGGACGGUAGAGGAAGGUAGAAUUCCUGGUGUAGUGGUGAAAUGCGUAGAUAUCAGGAGGAAUACCAGAGGCGAAGGCGGCCUUCUGGGCCGUUCCUGACGCUAAGACGCGAAAGCAUGGGUAGCAAACG